This 919-nucleotide ribosomal RNA is filed under the name Thaxterogaster australis. Its description in RNAcentral is "Cortinarius australis partial large subunit ribosomal RNA". It matches the Rfam family "Eukaryotic large subunit ribosomal RNA", at positions 47 to 954 of the family's 3401-position model. Lineage: Eukaryota; Fungi; Basidiomycota; Agaricomycetes; Agaricales; Cortinariaceae. The record is from RNAcentral.
UAAGCGGAGGAAAAGAAACUAACAGGAUUCCCCUAGUAACUGCGAGUGAAGCGGGAAAAGCUCAAAUUUAAAAUCUGGCAGUCUCUGGCUGUCCGAGUUGUAAUCUAGAGAAGUGUUAUCCGCGCUGGACCGUGUACAAGUCUCCUGGAAUGGAGCGUCAUAGAGGGUGAGAAUCCCGUCUUUGACACGGACUGCCAGGGCUUUGUGAUGCGCUCUCAAAGAGUCGAGUUGUUUGGGAAUGCAGCUCAAAAUGGGUGGUAAAUUCCAUCUAAAGCUAAAUAUUGGCGAGAGACCGAUAGCGAACAAGUACCGUGAGGGAAAGAUGAAAAGAACUUUGGAAAGAGAGUUAAACAGUACGUGAAAUUGCUGAAAGGGAAACGCUUGAAGUCAGUCGCGUUGGCCAGGGAUCAACCUUGCUUUUGCUUGGUGCACUUUCUGGUUGACGGGUCAGCAUCAAUUUUGACUAUUGGAAAAAGGUCAGGGGAAUGUGGCAUCUUCGGAUGUGUUAUAGCCCUUAGCUGCAUACAAUGGUUGGGAUUGAGGAACUCAGCACGCCGCAAGGCCGGGUUUUAACCACGUACGUGCUUAGGAUGCUGGCAUAAUGGCUUUAAUCGACCCGUCUUGAAACACGGACCAAGGAGUCUAACAUGCCUGCGAGUGUUUGGGUGGAAAACCCGAGCGCGCAAUGAAAGUGAAAGUUGAGAUCCCUGUCGUGGGGAGCAUCGACGCCCGGACCAGACCUUUUGUGACGGUCCCGCGGUAGAGCAUGUAUGUUGGGACCCGAAAGAUGGUGAACUAUGCCUGAAUAGGGUGAAGCCAGAGGAAACUCUGGUGGAGGCUCGUAGCGAUUCUGACGUGCAAAUCGAUCGUCAAAUUUGGGUAUAGGGGCGAAAGACUAAUCGAACCAUCUAGUAGCUGG